This 355-nucleotide ribosomal RNA is filed under the name Arachnodes brunnipes. Its description in RNAcentral is "partial 16S ribosomal RNA". The stretch from base 1 to 123 matches the Rfam family "Archaeal large subunit ribosomal RNA", at positions 1949 to 2099 of the family's 2987-position model. Lineage: Eukaryota; Metazoa; Arthropoda; Insecta; Coleoptera; Scarabaeidae. The record is from RNAcentral.
ACCUGCCCUAUGAAUAAUUUAUUUUUAAAUGGCUGCGGUAUUUUGACCGUGCAAAGGUAGCAUAAUAAUUAGUUUCUUAAUUAGGAACUGGAAUGAAUGGUCGAACGAGAAAAAUACUGUCUCAAUUUAAUUUAAAUUAGAAUUUUAUUUUUAAGUAAGAAAGCUUAAAUAUACUUAAAAGACGAGAAGACCCUAUAGAGUUUUAUAUUAAUAAUUAUAGUUAGAAGUUAAAGUAUUAUAGAGUUGACUAUAAUGAUUAAUAUUUGGUUGGGGCGAUUAAAAAAUUUAAUGAACUUUUUUUAGAUUAAACCAUUGAUUUAUGAAUAAGUGAGCCAUAUUUUAUGAUUAUAAGAUU